RNAcentral lists this ribosomal RNA (254 nucleotides) under uncultured bacterium. RNAcentral's name for it is "partial 16S ribosomal RNA". It matches the Rfam family "Bacterial small subunit ribosomal RNA", at positions 524 to 777 of the family's 1533-position model. The record is from RNAcentral.
UACGUAGGGGGCGAGCGUUGUCCGGAAUUACUGGGCGUAAAGGGUGCGUAGGUGGCCUUUUAAGUUGGAUGUGAAAUACCCGGGCUUAACCUGGGGGGUGCAUCUAAUACUGGAAGGCUAGAGUGCAGGAGAGGAAAGUGGAAUUCCCAGUGUAGCGGUGAAAUGCGUAGAUAUUGGGAGGAACACCAGUGGCGAAGGCGACUUUCUGGACUGUAACUGACGCUGAGGCACGAAAGCGUGGGGAGCAAACAGGG